This 253-nucleotide ribosomal RNA is filed under the name uncultured bacterium. Its description in RNAcentral is "partial 16S ribosomal RNA". It matches the Rfam family "Bacterial small subunit ribosomal RNA", at positions 524 to 776 of the family's 1533-position model. The record is from RNAcentral.
UACGAAGGGGGCUAGCGUUGUUCGGAAUUACUGGGCGUAAAGCGCACGUAGGCGGCUUUGUAAGUUAGAGGUGAAAGCCCGGGGCUCAACUCCGGAAUUGCCUUUAAGACUGCAUCGCUAGAAUUGUGGAGAGGUAAGUGGAAUUCCGAGUGUAGAGGUGAAAUUCGUAGAUAUUCGGAAGAACACCAGUGGCGAAGGCGACUUACUGGACACAUAUUGACGCUGAGGUGCGAAAGCGUGGGGAGCAAACGGG